GACGAACGCUGGCGGCGUGCUUAACACAUGCAAGUCGAACGGAAAGGCCCUGCUUUUGUGGGGUGCUCGAGUGGCGAACGGGUGAGUAACACGUGAGUAACCUGCCCUUGACUUUGGGAUAACUUCAGGAAACUGGGGCUAAUACCGGAUAGGAGCUCCUGCUGCAGGGUGGGGGUUGGAAAGUUUCGGCGGUUGGGGAUGGACUCGCGGCUUAUCAGCUUGUUGGUGGGGUAGUGGCUUACCAAGGCUUUGACGGGUAGCCGGCCUGAGAGGGUGACCGGCCACAUUGGGACUGAGAUACGGCCCAGACUCCUACGGGAGGCAGCAGUGGGGAAUCUUGCACAAUGGGCGGAAGCCUGAUGCAGCAACGCCGCGUGCGGGAUGACGGCCUUCGGGUUGUAAACCGCUUUCGCCUGUGACGAAGCGUGAGUGACGGUAAUGGGUAAAGAAGCACCGGCUAACUACGUG
Molecule: ribosomal RNA, 468 nt
Filed under: uncultured bacterium
Lineage: Bacteria
Description: partial 16S ribosomal RNA
Rfam family: Bacterial small subunit ribosomal RNA
Source: RNAcentral